AUAGCUGUCAACGUUUCCAUUUUUUUAAAGGGAAAUUCCCUCAUUCCGAAUAGGAUUCCUCGCCAGAAAAGGGGAAAAGUUGACAGCUAUGUGCCCUGCUCUUGGCACACUUCUGCUGCUUUUUUUGGAAAGGUCGUUCUCGGAAUGGGGUGCCCCAGCGGUGGAGAAGGCCCCGUCCCUCGCCAUUAAAACCAAGAGGAAGAGACGCCCCUCGCCGGCACUCCCUGUUGCAAGGAGCCUGGAAAGGGAGGAAAGAGCGCGCAGCGACGCGGGCAACUCCCGCCCGGGGAACAUUCUCCGUCGGGCAGAACCUCCCUGUUGCAGCUGGAAGCGGGGAAGCGGGGACUCAGUGCUUGUGGGGGACAGAGACUCCUCUCGCAAUUUAAUUUCUUAACAUUAUUCAUUCAUGAGCAUAAGACUUUUCUUAAUAGCCAGUCUUUGCAAAGAGAGCAACUCUGCUCCUCCCCCACAUUCCACACCCAGGGAUACACUUCGGUAGAGAAGCAAACAUGACUUUUGCUUGCAGUCGUUUCCUCUUCAUGUUUCUGUACUUUCUGGACACUUUUAGCCGUGCGGUGGAGAACCCAGCCUAUCAGGUAAAAGGAAUCCUGGGAGGAUCAGUCUUGUUUCCUGCCAACAUAUCUCAAGGAAUAACAGUGGAGAAAAUGGAAUGGGACUUCUACCCCCAAAGGGGUGGCCUGGGCUUUUGGCUGGGGGAAUUCAGCCACGGUAAACUGGAGCACCCAAGUCCCACUGACCGGUUUGGACAACGGCUAGACAUGGUGAACGAGACAACACUGAAGGUCAAAGACCUGGAGUUGGAUGACAGUGGGAUCUACAAUGCUCGCAUCUGGUUUAUGAAAUCACAGUUUCAAGAACAGAGUUUCAGCCUCACAGUUUAUGAGCCAGUGCCAACACCACAGAUGCUCCAUCAAGAGAUAUCCAGUAAUCUAGAGGGAUGUAAUGUGACCCUGCAAUGUCAGACACCUGGAAGGUCAGACACUCAAGGUCUCCUGGGAAAGAGGGAAUCCCUCCAGGGCCUUAGAAAGCAGCCUGGAUGAGUUCCAGCUUUCUGAAAGUGGGAGGCAGCUCAAUGUCUCCUGGAAGACCAUACCUUUUGACUCCACAUUGACUUGCCUGGUCAGCAACCCUGUCAGUGAAAAGAGAGCCUCAUUUGACUUGUCCCACAUCUGCUCAGGUAUUGGAGGUGGACAUAUUGGAACCCAGAAGAUCCUGCAUCUUAUUUCUGGUCUCUUUGCAAUUUUGUUUUUGUUGGGAAUUGUGAUUCUGCUUGCAGUAUGCCAGUGGAGAAAAAGGCAUCAAGGAGAAAUUGUCCGUAGGCUUCCAGAGAAGGGGCAAAAUUUUAUUGCACACCAGAACUCAGAAGAGAGGCUCCCACAACUUUUCAGAUUUCCUGCGUAAGUGAGGAAUGUCACAUGAGUUCCAUACCGCUUUGGAAAUCCUGUCUUCCUAUCCAUUCUGACCCAGGAGCAGACACAUAUAGCCCAGAAGAUGAACAGACCAAGGGGAGGAGCAGGCAUGUCUCUUGGAACCAGUGCAAGUGAUUGUUUUGAGGCAACAUUGACAGUUCACCCGGCACAAUGGCCAGAGCUUCCCAGUCAGGAGCAGGGGCACCCCCCUCCUCAAUAGAUGGAGUGCCCCCUUGCCAACAAAUGAAGUGCCCCUCCAUCAUCAGCCAGAGCACCCUCUCAUCCUCAGCUGGAGAUUUCCCUGUUUGCAGUUGCAGUAUCCUCUCCCCAACAGCUGGACCUGCCAGGUGUCAUGGACAUGAUGUUUGCAGAGCUAUUGGAGGAGGCCCCAGGUGGGGAACCCCCGAGGGAAGAAGGCUCAGAGCCGGAGGAUUUUGGGAGGGAUGACAAUGAGUGGUCAGAGGGAGAAGAGGCAGCAAAC
Non-coding RNA from Podarcis muralis (Common wall lizard), 1911 nucleotides. The record is from RefSeq and is a predicted model, not a curated record. Lineage: Eukaryota; Metazoa; Chordata; Lepidosauria; Squamata; Lacertidae.